AUGACUAAAACUCCGUUCUCCGGAACAGUGGUACGAGUUACUAACUUGUUGGAAAUAAUACAUACCGAUGUAUGCGGUCCAAUGAGUGUUGAUGCUCGUGGCGGGUAUCGUUAUUUUCUGACCUUCACAGAUGAUUUGAGCAGAUAUGCGUAUCUUUACCUAAUAAUAAAGAAAAUUGGGUUUCGGUCGUCCGUCGCCAUUGGCAUUUUUGCAGAAAAACCCUUGUGUUUUCUGAUAAUUGAACCCGACGUCCCUCUUAAAAGUGGAUCUGAGAAAACGGUUCAUUCUUAUAAAAAGGACCCUGUACUGUUUAGUAUUCAACCCGUGAUCCUUUGUUUCGUUUUUAUCCAGCCGUUCCCUUUCCAACCACGGCGGUGGAGGAGAAGUAGGGCGACGGAGGAGGAGAAGUAG
Molecule: ribosomal RNA, 411 nt
Filed under: Triticum aestivum (bread wheat)
Lineage: Eukaryota; Viridiplantae; Streptophyta; Magnoliopsida; Poales; Poaceae
Description: partial small subunit ribosomal RNA
Source: RNAcentral